RNAcentral lists this ribosomal RNA (253 nucleotides) under uncultured bacterium. Its description in RNAcentral is "partial 16S ribosomal RNA". It matches the Rfam family "Bacterial small subunit ribosomal RNA", at positions 524 to 776 of the family's 1533-position model. The record is from RNAcentral.
UACAGAGGGUGCGAGCGUUAAUCGGAAUUACUGGGCGUAAAGCGUGCGUAGACGGUUAUUUAAGUCAGAUGUGAAAGCCCCGGGCUCAACCUGGGAAUUGCAUUUGAGACUGAAUAGCUAGGGUGCGGUAGAGGGAAGCGGAAUUUCCGGUGUAACGGUGAAAUGCGUAGAUAUCGGAAGGAACAUCAGUGGCGAAAGCGGCUUCCUGGACCAGCACCGACGUUCAGGCACGAAAGCGUGGGGAGCAAACAGG